CACCGACAUUUCGAACGCACAUUGCGGUCCUCGGAUAUGAUUCCCGGACCACGCCUGGCUGAGGGUCGUUCAAUAAGAUGAAACGAGACUGCUCGUCGUCGUCGUAUUACGCGGCGGCGAGCGAUUACCUGAGCGCUCGUUCGCACUCCGUCACGGCUCGUGCUGCUGCUUCCGUAAGGUCGCGUUGCACGCACGCAGCUCGACGAGCGCGAGCUGCGCUUCAAAUGAGGAUCGCCACAACUUGGGAUCGCGCGCCACGCGAGUCGAGUCCCGGAGCUCUUUCGCGCGCUUGUCGCCGCGAGCGGACCGACGAGCUUCUUGGCGUUCGAUUCCAUUUCAUGUUGUCUAGCUGUGCGAGACCAUACACGUAUCGUUCGAAAGCGAAACUUUUUCUAACGACGACCUCAGAGCAGGCAAGACA
This 421-nucleotide ribosomal RNA is filed under the name Eretmocerus mundus. RNAcentral describes it as "eukaryotic LSU rRNA". Lineage: Eukaryota; Metazoa; Arthropoda; Insecta; Hymenoptera; Aphelinidae. The record is from RNAcentral.